CUAGCGUAUUAUUUGGAAGGUUUCUCUACCCAGAGAAAACUAAUGAAGGAUGGUACCUGGACUACACGCUUAUCCAUAAUACAGCUUUGCUGUAAUAAAAUACAAUAGCAAUAAUUAGUAACGCUAAAAGGUGUGUGGGAAGCCCUUUUGUGAAAAUUAGAGUUAUGGUGGAUAAAUAAUUAUGGGUAAGCUAGCUGGU
This 199-nucleotide non-coding RNA is filed under the name unclassified sequences. Its description in RNAcentral is "RT-16 RNA". The stretch from base 29 to 199 matches the Rfam family "RT-16 RNA". From Rfam's summary of the family: candidate division DUSEL4 (Archaea). Nearby to self-splicing intron genes The record is from Rfam by way of RNAcentral.